UACGUAGGGGGCAAGCGUUGUCCGGAAUCCUUGGGCGUAAAGAGCGUGUAGGCGGCCCGAUAAGUCCGCUGUGAAAGUCCAGGGCUCAACCCUGGGAUGCCGGUGGAUACUGUCGGGCUCGAGUCCGGAAGAGGCGAGUGGAAUUCCCGGUGUAGCGGUGAAAUGCGCAGAUAUCGGGAGGAACACCUAUGGCGAAGGCAGCUCGCUGGGACGUUACUGACGCUGAGACGCGAAAGCGUGGGGAGCAAACAGG
RNAcentral lists this ribosomal RNA (253 nucleotides) under uncultured bacterium. RNAcentral's name for it is "partial 16S ribosomal RNA". It matches the Rfam family "Bacterial small subunit ribosomal RNA", at positions 524 to 776 of the family's 1533-position model. The record is from RNAcentral.